This 2899-nucleotide long non-coding RNA is filed under the name Strigops habroptila (Kakapo). RNAcentral's name for it is "lncRNA (ENSSHBG00005020236.1)". Lineage: Eukaryota; Metazoa; Chordata; Aves; Psittaciformes; Psittacidae. The record is from RNAcentral.
GAGAGCACAACCCAUUAGCUCCCAGAUGGACACCUCCAACCCAGCUCUCCCAACCGGAGCAGCGAUGCCGGUGAGCCGCUAACUUCACACCGGCAAAGCUUCACUCUACAUGCCGCCACAGGCUGUGGUGUUUGGGUUUUCUCCCCCAGCCACCCAGAUCCCACUCCCUGUCGGAGCUAUCCGCCUCUGGUAGCGAGGAGGAACGAUAGAACAAUUAAAGUGCCCCUGCGCUUCGGAGCCGGAGGGUUUUGCUGGAUGCUGUACGGAGAAAGCCCAUGUGCCUCCUUAAGGAAGAAAAGAAGCUUUGUGGCAGCCAGGCUCAACUGAAGUGAGAGGAUACUGUACCUUACAGACAGAAGUACAGGGAAAACGAGCGGAUGGGAAGAUGCAGGAAGAGGAGAAAGAGGAGGGGAAAGAAAAACCUGCUGCUGAGAGCUUUUACAACAUGAAGUCAGGCAACUGCAUCCGCAAGCAAAGUGCCAGAGCAGAGCUGAGCCCCUCACUGUGUCCUCCUCCCAUCAUUAGGUGUUUCCAAAGGAAGAAGAUAUGAGCCAAUGGCUUGGACAGCUGUGAAUAAUGCUAUUUGUCUCUAUCACAGCCCAGGCUAAGCAUUGCACUGUCUCAACAUGCAAUGGGAUUCAACUGAGAUUAACUUCACCAUAUCACUGACACAUUCUGCUUUCCAUCUCUGCAGCUGCUGUGGCCUGCUUGCAGUGUUCUCUUGUUCUCCCUGCAGGGAAAACUGGAGAAAUUAGUUGGAUUACAUUGCCUGAUCACUCAGAUAUUGCAUGGAGCCAAGGUUUUGAGUCCACUUUCCUCUGCUGUGUGAUGAUUCUGCAAAGGAAGACGGUGAGACAUGCUGCAUGACAAAAGCCAUGGUUUUGUAACCCAGUCUAAGCAACUCCAGUUUGUUUCUAAGCUCUACAUUCAUUUUCAACUUUGCCCUAAAAGACAUGUUUUGUUGCAAAGCUUUUUAUUUUAUAUGACAUUCAGGGAAUUUAAAGAGACUACAAUUAAACCCAGCUUUUACCAACAACAAACUAUUUCCAACAGCACAUUCAUAUACUCCAGAAAACAUUCCCCAGCUCCAGUCCUCAUCUUUGGCUGCUUAGUUUACUCUGAAAACAGUAUAUUUGUCCUGGUAAACCAUUCCAAGCUCUUCCUUUUCCAUGUAUUUGAGUGGAAACCCCUCAAAAUAACAGCAUCAAAACUCCCAAACACAAAGUGGGCUGAAAAGAACAUUUUAAGACCAUCAGAUUAAUGAGUACAUUUCCUAACAAGAAAAUACUUCUUCUUUUAUUCCUUUCUUUCCCCACAAACCCAAACUUCACAUCCAAACUACCCAGGUUGGUGAGGAAGAAACCAUGGUAACUGCACAUUUUAAUUGGAUGUUUGUUCGCUAGAGAGAAGGGGAAAGAUUGCAUAAUUGGUGCUGGGGAGUCUACACAAACAUGACAUGGUUUGGAGAGCCGAAGCAUUCUGCUAAAGGGGAAUGUGAUAUAGCACAUCUGGCACUGGGGUGUAUCUCCUUUAUGUAACACAAAGUCAGAGGGUGUCAGGAGCUCCAUAUGGCUCCUUCAAAACAGCUCAAUGCCCAUGAGUCAGGCCUGAACCUGGGACCAGACCUGGAAACACAAAAGCAGCAGCUUCUCCCAGGUCCUCCCCUCUUCUCUGAGCCAUGCUCACUUCCCAGAGAGGAGGAACAAUACAGUGGGCAUCCCCAGCACUCAAAACACAGCUACUUGGGAGCUGGAUCUGAGCAUGGUCAACAGACCUCAAAUGUCCUACCUUUGCAAGAUGAACCAACAAGCUGUGGGCUGGCUUAGUGCUCUGCCCUUGCUUCCUCUAAAUUUCUCCUUUUCCCUCUGUUUCCCUCUUUUCAACACACAAGCUUCAGCCCCUGUUUCUCAGAUAUCCCCACUGAACAAUGUGUUAUUGCCCACUUGGCUAAAAUACAGCAUUGACACAUCGCUAUAACACUUCUGCUACAAUUCUUUAGCUUUUUCUACAUCACCUUCUCAUUUGCAGCACCCAUCAAUAAACAGGGCAUUACCUUCAGCUUGGUCUUCACCUCUAAGUUGUGUCUAAACCUUGUAGAUUAAUUCUGCAUAAAAGAUCUUAAAGAUUAUGUCUGCAGUGCUUAUUGGACUGUAAGUGCCAAUGCAGUUACUGAGAGUCUAGUAGCUGACUGUACUACUGCUGGAGUUCUGCACAGACUUCCCAGCCUAAAAGGGCAUCUGCGACUUAUUUAGGCAAUGGGCAGGUGACGUCCAGCAAUAACAGCUCCUCUAGUCUGGAUACUGUGUCUCUUCUUCCCAUAGCAGAUAAUAAACCCACAAGGAUGAAUGAAAGUGCUUCCAAGCAAGGAUCUGAUGACGGAGUAAGCAGAACAGCAAGGGUGGCUUUAGUGCACUGCUCCAAAUAACAUAGUACCAGACUGGUUUGGGUUAAAGGUACCUUAAAGCUCAUCCAGUUCUAACCCCCAGACAUGGGCAGAGACACCUUCCACUAGAGCAGCAACCUGCUCUAGUGGAAGGUGUCCCUGCCCAUGGCAGGGGCUUGGAACUGGAUAGGCUUUAAGAUCCCUUCCAACACAAACCAGUCUGGGAUUCUGUGAUCCUGUCAUUUGGGGAUUGACCUUGUAAGUCCCAGUGCCCAAUGUGAUGCUAUGAUUAAAAAAAGCUGUCAAGGCUGUGUAUGUGAGAGGUCAGCAUUUCUUCUUCCUAAGAUCUCACCUCAAUCUCCCUUCUGUCAGUUUAAAUCCAUUCCCCCUUGUAAAAAUCCCUUUCAGUUACUGCUUCUCAGGCAGCAUUCCCCACCAUACAAACCUGGCUUAACUGAUGUUUGCUGGAUGUCCAAUAUCGUAACUGUAUGGAAAUAAAGAAGUUUUGGCUGUGAA